UGCCUAAUACAUGCAAGUCGAACGGGGAAAGCUUUCGGGCGAGUACUAGUGGCGCACGGGUGAGUAACACGUGGGUAAUCUGCCUUCGAGCGUGGGAUAACUGUCCGAAAGGAUAGCUAAUACCACAUAAGACCACAGGAUCUGCGGAUCCAGGGGUCAAAGGUUUUUCGCUCGAAGAUGAGCCCGCGCGGGAUUAGCUAGUUGGUGAGGUAAUGGCUCACCAAGGCUACGAUCCCUAGCUGGUCUGAGAGGAUGAUCAGCCACACUGGAACUGAGACACGGUCCAGACUCCUACGGGAGGCAGCAGUAGGGAAUAUUGCGCACUGGAGGAAACUCUGACGCAGCGACGCCGCGUGAGUGAUGUUUCCUUCGGGUCGUAAAGCUC
RNAcentral lists this ribosomal RNA (385 nucleotides) under uncultured organism. RNAcentral describes it as "bacterial SSU rRNA". It matches the Rfam family "Bacterial small subunit ribosomal RNA", at positions 45 to 433 of the family's 1533-position model. The record is from RNAcentral.